AACUUUUGGCAACGGAUCUCUUGGCUCUCGCAACGAUGAAGAACGCAGCGAAAUGCGAUAAGUAGUGUGAAUUGCAGAAUUCAGUGAAUCAUCGAAUCUUUGAACGCACAUUGCGCUUCCUGGUAUUCCGGGGAGCAUGCUCGUUUCAGAAUCAUUA
Molecule: ribosomal RNA, 157 nt
Filed under: Powellomyces sp. DAOM 226231
Lineage: Eukaryota; Fungi; Chytridiomycota; Chytridiomycetes; Spizellomycetales; Powellomycetaceae
Description: 5.8S ribosomal RNA
Rfam family: 5.8S ribosomal RNA
About the family: 5.8S ribosomal RNA (5.8S rRNA) is a component of the large subunit of the eukaryotic ribosome. It is transcribed by RNA polymerase I as part of the 45S precursor that also contains 18S and 28S rRNA. Functionally, it is thought that 5.8S rRNA may be involved in ribosome translocation.
Source: RNAcentral